GACGAACGCUGGCGGCGUGCUUAACACAUGCAAGUCGAACGGAAAGGCCCUGCUUUUGUGGGGUGCUCGAGUGGCGAACGGGUGAGUAACACGUGAGUAACCUGCCCUUGACUUUGGGAUAACUUCAGGAAACUGGGGCUAAUACCGGAUAGGAGCUCCUGCUGCAUGGUGGGGGUGGGAAAUUUUCGGCGGUUGGGGAUGGACUCGCGGCUUAUCAGCUUGUUGGUGGGGUAGUGGCUUACCAAGGCUUUGACGGGUAGCCGGCCUGAGAGGGUGACCGGCCACAUUGGGACUGAGAUACGGCCCAGACGCCUACGGGAGGCAGCAGUGGGGAAUAUUGCACAAUGGGCGGAAGCCUGAUGCAGCAACGCCGCGUGCGGGAUGACGGCCUUCGGGUUGUAAACCGCUUUCGCCUGUGACGAAGCGUGAGUGACGGUAAUGGGUAAAGAAGCACCGGCUAACUACGUG
This 468-nucleotide ribosomal RNA is filed under the name uncultured bacterium. Its description in RNAcentral is "partial 16S ribosomal RNA". It matches the Rfam family "Bacterial small subunit ribosomal RNA", at positions 28 to 507 of the family's 1533-position model. The record is from RNAcentral.